RNAcentral lists this ribosomal RNA (476 nucleotides) under uncultured soil bacterium. RNAcentral's name for it is "bacterial SSU rRNA". It matches the Rfam family "Bacterial small subunit ribosomal RNA", at positions 26 to 513 of the family's 1533-position model. The record is from RNAcentral.
AGGACGAACGCUGGCGGCGUGCUUAACACAUGCAAGUCGAGCGGUAAGGCCUCUUCGGGGGGUACACGAGCGGCGAACGGGUGAGUAACACGUGAGCAAUCUGCCCUUCACUUCGGGAUAAGCCUCGGAAACGGGGUCCAAUACCGGAUAUGACCAUGCCAUGCAUGUGGCGUGGUGGAAAGUUCUGGCGGUGGGGGAUGAGCUCGCGGCCUAUCAGCUUGUUGGUGGGGUAAUGGCCUACCAAGGCUUCGACGGGUAGCCGGCCUGAGAGGGUGACCGGCCACACUGGGACUGAGACACGGCCCAGACUCCUACGGGAGCAGCAGGUGGGAAUAUUGGACAAUGGGCAAAGCCUGAUCCAGCAACGCCGCGUGAGGAUGACGGCCGUUCGGGUUGUAACCUCGUUUCACGCGCCGACGAGCGAGAGGUGACGGUAGGCGCAGAAGAAGGCCACCGGACCUAACGACGUCGGACCA